RNA transcript from Chelonia mydas (Green sea turtle), 4080 nucleotides. It is a transcript of the gene named CDC42 effector protein 3, with no coding region annotated. The transcript has 3 exons. NCBI's taxonomy places the organism in Eukaryota, Metazoa, Chordata, Testudines, Cheloniidae. The record is from RefSeq and is a predicted model, not a curated record.
CUAAAAUAAGAGCCCGAGUUUGCUCUGCAACGAAGACAGCACGAGGGAGGACACAAUAACACAAAUGUGCCCUUGUUGUGGGAACGCUCACACCAGGCUAGUCUAACCCAUUUGCCAACUCUAUAGUGAAGACAUACCCUAAAAUGUGAAUCCAUUUCAGUAUGCUUUGCAAUGGACCUACUCCUUUAUUUAACGUUAUUAAUUGUAUUUUUGGAUGCCCUACUUGAGGUAAUCAUUACUUCCAAAAUCUUGCAUUGAAUUUAAAAUAGUAUUAAGCUCAUCACGCUAUUAAUCCAACAUGGGACUCUUACAGGAAUCAGGUAUAACAGAAGCAAUCUUGGAGUAGGCAGACAACAGUGAUAUUUUUGUGGUUUUGGAAGUAACUCAGUGAGUUUUGCAAAACAAUACAGAUUGAGUUAGUAUACAAAAAUGACAGGGAGCUAGCCAGGGUGAUAAGAGGAACUUUAUGCUGCCAUGGGAUAAAUGCCCAGGUAUUGCAAGCUAAGCAUUCGUUUUCACACUAAUACUGUUUGAGUCCACAAAUUACUAAUUACAUUUAUAGGCAACCUUUGCCUUUGGUGGUGUCAGUGAGCUGGAAAUGUUUUUCUUCUUAAAAGUCUAGGAAAUGAUAUACAAAAACCUACAUUUGCUAGGACUGCACAUUCAAGCACCCAAAAGCCCAAGAAUGCAAAAGUUAUGGUUGAAAUACUCAACUUAAAUUUUACCUUCUUGCAUGUACACAGUGAUCAUUUUAUUGAAUGUAUAUGCUACAUCUUUGCCUACGGUUGUAGAAGAAGCUGCUAUAAUAUAUUGGUCAGAAAACUUAAUGCAGUCUCAUACAUAUAAAGAUAGCAUGACCGUGCAUGCAAUGGGAUAGAGUUAAGGGGGUGUGUUCAACCUUAACUUUUACAUUAGAUUAAAUGUAGAUGCUUAACUAUACGCUCUUAAUGUUGCAUUAAUGUUGUAUGCUUGCAUUUAAUUGGGAAGAAGUUCAGAAAUUCUAUUUCACUACCUAGAUCGCUAUCAGAGGAGGUAGUAAAGGCAUUCUCUUUGCAGAACAAGUUUAGAUAAGACAUUAGAUGAAGUGAUGCAGGCAGUUAUCUUGCUGAGGGUCAGACUGGGUGAUACAAGUGAUCUUUUCUGUGAUUCUAUGCCAUUGCAAAUAGUGACUGACCUUCUGUAGAGAUAAAAUUGCUGAUUACAAGCUGAAGUCAUCCAGACUGAGUUUCUCAUCCAAGCUUCACAGAAGCUGUCCAGAUGUACUUUUAUGGCAGUAAAAAUAUUUUAAAGGUAACAUGCAAAGCAUUUUUUUAAAACUGGGUUUGUUCACUCAUUUUGUGUGUGUUUUUUUUUUUUUAUGGUGUAUAAAGAAGGGCUAAAAAGCAGUAGGAGUUUUUUUUAUGUUUUUAUCUUAGAAAUAUUUGAAAUAUCAAGUCUGAUCUUCAUUGAGAUCCAAGAGAAAUCUUCCAGCAAAACAGAGCAUGUGUAUUAUGAGCUCUUGCAUCUUAAUGGCAGAACUGAGGCAUUGAAUCUUUAAUCACAACGUUCUUUCUCCGAAAUGUUAAUUGGACAUUGGUGUGAAAUCUUAACUAUAAGAAACAAUUUGAAACAAUCUGACUAAAGAAUGUUAAUAUUGUUUGUUUGUUGGCUUUUAAAAAAUCUGGGAAGUUAAUGACAAAAAUUAGAUUAAAAGAAUGUUAAGGUUGCAAAAGUUAGGAAGUGCCAGAAUUAAGGUUGGUUGUUACCUUAAUUUGAUUCCCUUGUGCAUAUUUACUAUAAAACCAUCAGUCAUAACAUAAUCUCAUACUAUUUUUCACCACAGGACUUCACCUCAUUCAGUGCACAACGAAUGAGGCCAGAGGUUUCAAGAAGAGAGAAGAUAUUUUCUUAUUUUAAGGGCCUGCUGCCUGCUACAGAUACAGAAAUCUAGAUGGGAUUUCAGAGAUAAGAGAUGGUUUUCUCAGGUUUUGGAAGUAAUAGAGUACUUGGUCACUGACUCCUCACCUGAAGGACAGUUGUAUGCUUAAACUUGGAAGGCUCUGCAUUGGGGUUCUUCAGCUCUCUUAAUUUCCAGAUUCUCUUUUCCAGAAGAAAUGGACCCUAUGUGUGAGAGCCAUCCAAGUCAAUAAUGUGACAACGAUAACAUUGAAAGUCUGCUGGAGAAGAAUCACUAAUUCCUAUAAGAAGUGGGUUGGUUUUUUUCCAUCCCUUAUAAAACAGACCACCUCAAAAUCUGCAAACAAAAUGCCAGCUAAGACACCCAUCUACCUGAAAGCUGCCAAUAAUAAGAAAGGGAAGAAAUUCAAAUUAAGGGAUAUUUUGUCGCCUGAUAUGAUCAGUCCACCACUUGGAGACUUUCGCCACACCAUACACAUUGGGAAAGAGGGACAACAUGAUGUUUUUGGGGACAUCUCAUUUCUGCAAGGAAAUUAUGAGCUGUUACCUGGGAAUGAGGGAACACCAAGAGUUGGUCAGUUUGGUGGACAUAAUGAGUUCUUAAGGGCAAACAGCACCUGUGACUCCAUGUUUACAGAAACUCCUUCACCCGUGCUCAAAAAUGCCAUCUCGCUUCCUGCCAUUGGUGGUUCUCAAGCCCUUGUGUUGCCCUUAUUAUCACCAGUGACAUUUAAUUCAAAGCGGGACUCCUUUGGGCCAUCAAAGAAUCCAAGGCUUAGUUGUGAGCCAGUAAUGGAAGAAAAAUUGCGGGAGAAAAGCAAACAGUUGGAGAAUGGGGAAAUGUACAAAGAUGACAUCCUAUGGGAGCCGAACGGUUCUGGGUCGCAUUAUACUAAUGGCAGAGAGAGUCAUUCAUCCAGCCUUUCUGAACAAUGCACUGAUUGGCAAACAGUUGACUUACUUGAUGACAGUCAUCUCUCAUGUGAACUAACCAAGGCAGAGACUAAGUCAGAAGAAUCCCUUUCAGAUCUUGCAGGCUCGCUUCUUUCAUUGCAGCUUGACCUGGGACCCUCACUUCUGGAUGAGGUCCUCAAUGUAAUGGACAAAAAUAAAUCCUAGGACUGGUGUACUUUUUUGCCUCUUUGUAAAUGAUGCAUUUUUUAAAAAAAAACAAACUGAAGAAUAUAUAUAUUAAAAGAUCAGCUGUAUUUGCAGUUUGGGUUUUCUAAAAAUAAUCUUUAAAAAUAUUUUUUUAUGUUUUUCAUGUGAUGGUUUGUUUUUUUUUGUUUGUUUUUUUGUUUUUUUUUUAAGUAUGGUAAACAUCUCGUAGCAAGAGGAUACAUUUUAAUAAAAGUUUUCAGCAAGCAUACAAAUGUCUUUCAAAUACCAGUAUUAGUUAUCAGAAAAUUAAGAAAUGUUGUUGGGGGAUGAUAAUACUACUUGUGACCAUUAGCUUAAUUGACCUUCAGUGGCUUUUGAGUAAUCAAUCUGUAAGCAUCAGACUAGAGACUUAGGAGGUGAAGAAUAAAUAUUAACUAUUUCAACAUUGCUUUACAUCUAAGAUUCUUUCUAGAAUCUUAAAUUGUUUUCAUUAGUACUAUUUCUUUUAGCUGCACUGUAACUAGUUCUUCAGUGUUAAACUAUUGCUCUGUGUUCAAAUGUGAACAGCUUGGGGUUGUUCAAUUUUAAAUAUAGGCCAGAACCUCAGGUGCUAAGGAUCUGGCCCUAUAUCUAUAGAUCAGAUCAUAGAUCAUAUGUUGUAAACACAGGUAACACAAACAAAAUAUUACUGUAUUUAAAUUAUUUUAAAAGUUAAAAUAUAUAUUUUUGUGCUUAUUUGGCUUUUUUUUUUUUUUUUUUUUUUUUUUACUGCAGAGUCUACAUUUACAGAUAGAGUAUCAUCGAAGUAGUUGCUUGACUUCAUUGGUGGUCCUCUGUAAACUGUAUUUUUGAGUGUUUGAAAAAAUAUGUAUUGAUAACUUAGCUUUUUCCUUCAUUUACUACCAGAAAUGCUUAAACUUUCAACUGAUUGUCACCUUUUAAAGAAGGCACUGAUUACUCACAGCGUGUAAAGAGACUGUGCUGCAAUGUGAUGUUUGGGGAAAUGUGGAUCCUUUAUUACACUACAUACAUAAAUUGCAUAGAUACUCUGAGCAAUACAAUAAAGAAUAAAUGUUUAAAUUC